AUUUGGAAACUUAUUAAUAUUUUAUGGCAAAUUUGUUUAAAUUAAGAAUAUGAUUUUUAUUAUUAGUUUAGAAUUGAUUAUUUUUAUUAUAGUUUACUAGUACUGUGAAGGAAACCGAUAAAUAAUUCUAAGAAAAAUUAAGUUUUUGUACCUUGUGUAUCAGGGUUUAUUAAUUAAAAUUUAGUUAAUUUAUUUUUCCCGAAUUUAAAAGAGCUAUAAUAAUAUUAUUUUAUUGUUAAAAAAAUAUUUUUAAUAUUAUUAUUGAAAUUAGAUGUUAUUCGUUUUUAAAUUUAUCUGGUUUUUCAAGAAAGAAAUUCAAUUUUUUUAUUAAUAAGGAAUUUUCUUUAUAGUUAGUUAAUUUUUUUUAAUAAGGAAUAUUUAAGGGGUUGAGCUUUUAAAUAAAAUUUUAUAAGAGGUUUAGAUUUUCUAAUUAAAUAGAAUUAAAAGUUUUUAGUUUAUUUAUAAUGUUAUAAUUUAUUUAGGUUGGGAUAUUAUUUUCUUUUCUUUAAUUAUUUAUUGAAAUAAAUUAUGUAAUUUUGCUUUAAUUGAAAAAAUGAUUGAAUUAGUAUAUAUAGUUUGUUAAUCUUGGGGAAAUUUAAGGUUAUGAAAAGUAAUUCGGCAAAAUAAUUUUUCACCUGUUUAUUAAAAACAUGUCCUCUUAGAGUAUAAUUAGAGGUCGGGCCUGCCCACUGAGGAUUUAAAUGGCUGCGGUAUUUUGACCGUGCGAAGGUAGCAUAAUAAUUAGUUUUUUAAUUGAAAGCUGGAAUGAAUGGUUUUAUGAAAAAAUUACUGUCUCUUUAUAAUUUAGUUAGAAUUUUAUUUUUAAGUAAAAAAGCUUAAAUUUUAUUGAAAGACGAGAAGACCCUAUAGAGUUUUAUAAAAUUUUUACUUUAUUAUUAUUAGGAUUUAAACUUUAGAGUGGAAAAUUUAUUUGGUUGGGGCGAUUGAAAAAUUAAUUAAACUUUUUUUUUAUAAUAACACUUAUUUGUGAUUAUUUGAUCCAUCUUUGAUUAUAAGAUUAAAUUACCUUAGGGAUAACAGCGUAAUCUUUCUUAAGAGUUCAAAUCGAAAGAAGGGGUUGCGACCUCGAUGUUGGAUUAAAAUUAAGUCUUGGUGUAGAAGCUAAGAGAUUAGGUCUGUUCGACCUUUAAAAUUUUACAUGAUCUGAGUUUAGACCGGCGUGAGCCAGGUUGGUUUCUAUCUUUAAUCAAAGUAAAUAUUUCAGUACGAGAGGACCAAUUAUUUGGUAAAUUACCUAUUAAUUGAAUAUUAAU
Molecule: ribosomal RNA, 1274 nt
Filed under: Pyrrhidium sanguineum
Lineage: Eukaryota; Metazoa; Arthropoda; Insecta; Coleoptera; Cerambycidae
Description: 16S ribosomal RNA
Rfam family: Bacterial large subunit ribosomal RNA (bases 823-1211)
Source: RNAcentral